This 508-nucleotide ribosomal RNA is filed under the name uncultured bacterium. Its description in RNAcentral is "partial 16S ribosomal RNA". It matches the Rfam family "Bacterial small subunit ribosomal RNA", at positions 30 to 523 of the family's 1533-position model. The record is from RNAcentral.
AUUGAACGCUGGCGGCAGGCCUAACACAUGCAAGUCGAGCGGCAGCGGGAAAGUAGCUUGCUACUUUUGCCGGCGAGCGGCGGACGGGUGAGUAAUGCAUGGGAAAUUGCCCAGUCGAGGGGGAUAACAGUUGGAAACGACUGCUAAUACCGCAUACGCCCUACGGGGGAAAGCAGGGGACCUCCGGGCCUUGCGCGAUCGGAUAUGGCCAGGUGGGAUUAGCUAGUUGGUGAGGUAAUGGAGCACCAAGGCGACGAUCCCUAGCUGGUCUGAGAGGAUGAUCAGCCACACUGGAACUGAGACACGGUCCAGACUCCUACGGGAGGCAGCAGUUGGGAAUAUUGCACAAUGGGGGAAACCCUGAUGCAGCCAUGCCGCGUGUGUGAAGAAGGCCUUCGGGUUGUAAAGCACUUUCAGCGAGGAGGAAAGGUUGAUGCCUAAUACGUAUCAACUGUGACGUUACUCGCAGAAGAAGCACCGGCUAACUCCGUGCCAGCCGCCGCAGUAA